GUGCCAGCAGCCGCGGUAAUACGGGGGGGGCAAGCGUUGUUCGGAAUUACUGGGCGUAAAGGGCUCGUAGGCGGCCAACUAAGUCAGACGUGAAAUCCCUCGGCUUAACCGAGGAACUGCGUCUGAUACUGGAUGGCUUGAGAUCGGGAGAGGGAUGCGGAAUUCCAGGUGUAGCGGUGAAAUGCGUAGAUAUCUGGAGGAACACCGGUGGCGAAGGCGGCAUCCUGGACCGACACUGACGCUGAGGAGCGAAAGCCAGGGGAGCAAACGGGAUUAGAUACCCCGGUAGUCC
RNAcentral lists this ribosomal RNA (292 nucleotides) under uncultured prokaryote. RNAcentral's name for it is "partial 16S ribosomal RNA". It matches the Rfam family "Bacterial small subunit ribosomal RNA", at positions 505 to 796 of the family's 1533-position model. The record is from RNAcentral.